Molecule: ribosomal RNA, 328 nt
Filed under: uncultured eukaryote
Lineage: Eukaryota
Description: partial 18S ribosomal RNA
Rfam family: Eukaryotic small subunit ribosomal RNA
Source: RNAcentral
CCCUUAGAUGUCCUGGGCCGCACGCGCGUUACACUGAUGCAUUCAACGAGCUUAUAACCUUGGCCGAGAGGCCUGGGCAAUCUUGUUAACAUGCAUCGUGAUAGGGAUAGAUUAUUGAAAUUAUUAAUCUUGAACGAGGAAUUCCUAGUAAACGCAGAUCAUCAAUCUGCAUUGAUUACGUCCCUGCCCUUUGUACACACCGCCCGUCGCACCUACCGAUUGGAUGGUCCGGUGAAGCCUCGGGAUUGUGGUUCUUGCCGCUUUAUUGUAGCGUGACCGCGAGAACUUGUCUAAACCUUAUCAUCUAGAGGAAGGUGAAGUCGUAACA